Molecule: long non-coding RNA, 209 nt
Filed under: Prunus persica (peach)
Lineage: Eukaryota; Viridiplantae; Streptophyta; Magnoliopsida; Rosales; Rosaceae
Description: long non-coding RNA (PPER_LNC007049)
Source: RNAcentral
UCGGCAAUGUACUCAAUUCUUCAAGUAAUUAAUCUACUACUAAGCCCUCUGCCUUUUGUUAAAUGAAUGAAAACCUAGCCACGUAGUUGGGCACAACGGGCACAAUACAUGGGUGCACAAAAUGUAUCAAGUUUCAUGGAUUUGUUUGUUAGAGAACUUAUACUCUCUGCUUUUGUUCAUAUUAGCUAGGGACCCCAAGCGGAUAUAAU